GCUGGCAGGGGUAGGGGCAGGGGCAAGGGCGUCGGCUCAGACCUCAAUCGAGGACGGGGCACACGGGGCGACGAACACAUGGCUGGGGCCCUGGAGGAGACACAGCUGGGGAUCAGGUGGCCACGGCGGGCGCAGUUCUGCGACUCUGGUGGUCAGAAGCCAGAUAUCAGGGGAUCAGAAAACUCGGGAGGCAGCAUAAAGGCCUAGGUGAGACCUCUGGGGCAGUGGCUGCCCACCUGGAAGUCCCCCUGUUUAGCCCCCCACUCCCCCAACACUCACUGGAUGGGGUGAGCCGUGCCGGUGUCGAAUGCGGCCUGCAGACCUCGGGUUCCUGAGACAAAGAGACAGACGGAAGGGGCUAGUGGCCCCCUGGGCCCUACCGGCCACAGCCACAAGGAGCUCAUCAGGUGAAGAGCCCCAUGGAAAAGACAACCACAGUUCUCAUGAUUAACCGUGUCCCCCUGGGAAGAAGACGGGGGUGCUCCCUUUCAUUCUUUGGGGCUGUCCGCCCAGGACCUAUGUCCACAGAGAUGGGUGAUCCCUCCACUU
Molecule: long non-coding RNA, 549 nt
Filed under: Homo sapiens (human)
Lineage: Eukaryota; Metazoa; Chordata; Mammalia; Primates; Hominidae
Description: HSALNT0396108
Source: RNAcentral